AUACCUCCAAGAAACAUAUCCGUAUAAGCACUCACAAAAGAAUUCUUCCAAUAAAUCCACUCAAUUCGGCCCAAAAGAAAUGCAUACACAAUCUAUGAAAUAAAACCCUAUAUUUCGAAAUCGAUUGAAUGGAUCCCCAGUUCCUAUCUCUUGUGGAAUAGCAAAAUUUCAAAUCACAGAUGCAAAUCUAAAUCAACCAAUUUCUUCAAAUUUAAACUCCAUACUGAUGCAACUGAGUAUUAAUACGCAUACAAACGAAAAGGAAAGGGGAAAUAUGCUUGUAUAUACUCGUUGAUCUGAGCAAUGGCAUGACCUUCUGCCUGAAUUUCUUUUCGGUGGGUUUAUGAG
Molecule: long non-coding RNA, 348 nt
Filed under: Olea europaea (common olive)
Lineage: Eukaryota; Viridiplantae; Streptophyta; Magnoliopsida; Lamiales; Oleaceae
Description: long non-coding RNA (OEUR_LNC011143)
Source: RNAcentral